This 1701-nucleotide long non-coding RNA is filed under the name Equus caballus (horse). Its description in RNAcentral is "lncRNA (ENSECAG00000051020.1)". The record is from RNAcentral. Lineage: Eukaryota; Metazoa; Chordata; Mammalia; Perissodactyla; Equidae.
GCCGGGCUAGGGACGCAGACGCUGCGGACGCUCACCCUACGACGCCCACAGCCUGGUCCCCUCUAAAAACUCUAAAAACUAGUGCGCUCCAGCCCGCGCCUUUCUCCGGUGCUCAAGGCGGGGGUGUAUUUCGUUUCUUUCUUUAAACCUCUGCACCGUCUCGGGGGCUCCGAGCGCGGGCCGCGCGGGCUAUUCCCCCCGGGGGCCUGCGCCAGCCUAAGGUGUGUCCCCGGCCGGGUCAGCGCUGCGCUCUGCGCAGUUUCUUUUCCUCUUAAAGCUUUUUCUUUCUCUUGUUUUUCCUUUUCUCUCUUUCUUUUAUUGUGUUCUCUCUGUCUCUCUUUCUUUUCCUUUUGUGAAUGGGCCGCGGUGUCUUUGUUCUGGAGAGAAGCGCCCGUGUCGCUGACUUUUGUGAACCAGAGAAGGAUCUUGUAAAACCUCCUUUUCUCCUUCCUACUCCUCCACUCCCACCCCUCCUCCUUGGCCCCUUUGAUUAGAUGUUCCCUCAUCGUCCAAAAAAAAAAUGUAAUUUCGUUGGUCUGGCGGCCACUUUCUUUGAACAUUAGCUCGCUUUCAGCUCCAACUUCAAUUAGAAGGAGUUGAUUUUGAGAGAUCAACAAAAGAACCGACCAAAGCCUUAUUAAAGGUCCUAAGAAGAUCUCCCGAGUCCUUUGAGAAGCAGUUAAGGAAACAGUGUGCCCUCCAUCAUAUUCUGUUACCGUAUUUUAUUCGGACUCCAAAGGAAAGUGUCGCUUGGGGGAGGGGGAAGCACUUUGAUGAGCGGCGGCCGCGGCCCCUUUUCACUCAGCGGGCUCCCCUUCCUUCUCCUCCUCCUCGCCCAGCGCCCCGUCCGCUCUCGGGGCCCGACCCCGCGGCCCGGGCAGCGCCGGCGCUCCCCUCCGCGAUGCGCCUGGCAGCGCCUUGACUCGCCCUCACACUUACUCCUGUUCAAACUUUUCACUCCGCCUGUUGGGGUGGAGGGGAGGGGGGAUUAGGAAGAAGGGGUAGGAAUUCCUCGAAAGGGAAUAAAGUCGUGCCUAAUAUUCAGGAGGAGGUGCCAUUUAGAAGAAUUGUGUUGCUCGGUGUUGGGGAGAAAAGAGUUUUUUGCGCUUUGAGAAGUCUACCCAGGUAGACGUGUUUGAGAAGUUUGUUCGGCUGGGAAAUGGGCUUUGCCAGUACGAACAACCCGGGGAAAUCGCGUCAAGGAGGCUCCUUCUGCGGCAUGUGGAAAAGAAAUUGAGGGGAGUGGGAACCCCAGGAGACGCCGAGGAGCAGGUAGGUGGCGGUGCCUCCCCUGCGGGUGCUGUUCCCGGACUCCGGAGUCCCGAGGCGCCGAGGCGGAUCUGCGCCCCUGGAGCCGCUCCCGCGCUCGGCAAAGUAGCCUGUGCCAGCACGAGCCGCCCGCGGCGUUCCAUCUGCAGGUGGCGGCGUGGGGAGGAAGACGCUGGGGCCCGCGGCGCGGCGAGAGGGGCCGGGGGCCCGCUCUCCUGCAGCCCGCGACUCUGGAGUCCUCGCGCCCACAACCGGGCCGCCGAGACGAGUGGCGCGCGGGAGAACGAGGGAACCGGUUCUCCAGCACCUCGCCUCCUCUCUGCUACUCCCUCCGGGGCGCCGAAAGGGCGAGAGAAGCGCGGGGGCCCCGGGGCGGCCUCGGGACCGACGUCCCCCUCUGCGGCGGGUGCUCGGGCGCUGCGCUCGCCUUCC